AUGGCUCUAGUUGGUCAGGCUGCCAUGGUUGCGCAAUUUGCAGGAGUGGACGCCUACGGGCUCAUCAAGAUGAUCGCCGAUGCGACGCAGACGGUCCGGAGGAACAGAGCCACCUGCCUGCAGCUCGCGCGCCGCGCCAAGAUGAUCGGAGACCUGCUGCACCAGCUCCACGCCGCGCAGCUCAUGCAGCAGCCGGAGACGAGGAACCCCAUUGAGCAGCUCGAGGAGACGCUCCGGCGUGCGCUGCUGCUCGUCAGGUCCUGCCAGGGCCGCGGAUACCUCUACCGGUGCUUCAUGGGGGCGCGCCACGCCGACGAGCUCCGCGAGGUGCAGGGUGAGAUCACGUUCUACCUCCAGCUUUUCCCUCUCGUCAGCUACGUCGACACCACCCUCACCUGGGUCAGACUCCUCAACAAAGAUGCUGCUCCUCAACCUCCUUCAUGCAAAGAGGCACCUGUGGUAAGACCAUAUUUUGUGCCGGAUGAAUGGUGCUUGCUAGUUUCUUAUUCAGGAAGUAUACCUUGGCACUGUAUACACAUGGUUUACAUCCUUCUCUUCUUUUUAAUAUCUAUUAACCACCCGUCGGCAAAAUUUAUCUUGGCAUGUAUCUGCAGGAGUUAA
Molecule: ribosomal RNA, 621 nt
Filed under: Triticum aestivum (bread wheat)
Lineage: Eukaryota; Viridiplantae; Streptophyta; Magnoliopsida; Poales; Poaceae
Description: partial small subunit ribosomal RNA
Source: RNAcentral